Molecule: long non-coding RNA, 257 nt
Filed under: Nicotiana benthamiana
Lineage: Eukaryota; Viridiplantae; Streptophyta; Magnoliopsida; Solanales; Solanaceae
Description: long non-coding RNA (NBEN_LNC013219)
Source: RNAcentral
UUAUGGAUAAAUAGUCAUUGGAUUGCUAGUGAGUGUCAAAGUUGACCAUCUCGUCUCUAUCCCUUCGGGAUUAGGCGGGACACUCAUUGGGUGCACGUUAUUUUUGUACUCAUACUACACUUGAUGUGCAUUUUAUUGCACAAGUUUAUUGUGUGGCUCGCGGCAUAGCGGCAUGAUGGUCGCAAAGACUAGGUGAGUUGUAAUUCUUCGAGGCGAUUCCACAUCUAGUAUAGUCUCUUUCAUAAUUUUAUUUAUUU